This 279-nucleotide long non-coding RNA is filed under the name Medicago truncatula (barrel medic). Its description in RNAcentral is "lncRNA gene47115". Lineage: Eukaryota; Viridiplantae; Streptophyta; Magnoliopsida; Fabales; Fabaceae. The record is from RNAcentral.
CUUAUUUCUACAUAUUUUAUUUUAUUGUGGAUAGGCUUUUCAGGCUUUGUUUAGCAUAAAAAAGAGAAUUGGCCCACCAUUCAAAGUAACCAGAAUUUAUUUGUAAAGUGGUCAGCUUAAUUAGUUAGUGUUUUGGCAAAACAAGAAUGAUUACAGUCAUGAUCAGCAUUAAUAUCACUUAAUAGUUACUACCCAUUUCCUUUGAAAGAGGAAUCCUAACAUAAAAGGAAUAGUUAAAUCCAAAACUAAAUUCAAUAAAACUACCUUUUGUGAAAUUGG